GAGGACCCCUCGAGAUGUCCAUGCUUGCCGAACCUCGACGUAAACAGAAGUGGUCUGUAGACCCCAGAAACAGUGCACGGAGCAAUGAUUUGGAUAAGAUGUUGGAACGCAUGAGCUGGUCCAAAGAAAAGGGUCUCAGCAAACGUGAACAGGGGGCCACAGAACUCAAAGGUUAAAACAGUCUGGGUCUGGGCACUUCAGUAUACAACGAGAGCCCACGCGGGGGACACGCACAGGGUUUCAGUCUGGAGGAGAAAUUCAAGAAGAGUGUCCAUUACACCAAAUUCACCAAGGGAAAGAACUUGUCCAGUAGCAAAGAAACAGACCUAGCUUGUAUUUUGGGGAAGAGAUCAAAACAUUAAAUAAGAGACCAAGAUGAGUAAAGCAGUGUACCUGACUCUCAGGAAGAGAGAUCUGCCUCCAUGAAGGACUCCCCAAACACUAGUGAUCCUGAACCGUCUAAAAAGAAGAAAAUGGACAGAGAUGGCACUGAAGAAAUUGUAGAGGAUGUUGCGUUGAUUCCAGUUAUGGAAGACCACUUUGAAGUGAAAAGUUGCUCAGAGAAAAAGAACAAGAAAAAGUGAGAGGAGAGUGCUGAGGAUAGAGUUGAAGUGGUGGUGGUGUAGUGGGCUAAAGCACAUAACUGUCAAUCAGAAGGUCGCUGGUUUGAUCCCCACAGCCACCACCAUUGUGUCCUUGAGCAAGGCACUUAACUCCAGGUUGCUCUGGGGGGAUUGUCUCUGUAAUAAGUGCUCUGUAAGUCGCUUUGGAUAAAAGUGUCUGCCAAAUGCAUAAAUGUAAAUGUAUUUAAACAAAAAAGUUAUCCAAUACCAACUGGGCCUGUGUGAAAAGUAUUUACUUAGUUACUAAAUCCCCAAAUCUAUGAAACUGCAUUCAUAAUGGCAUUCAGCUGGACUAGACACACCCAGGCCUGAUUACUGCCAGCCCUGUUCAAUCAAAUCAACACCUCAAUAGAAUGUUUUCAGCUGCAUGAAGUUGGCUAAGUAGCACUCUAUGCCAUGGUCGAAAGAAAUUCCAGAAAUGAUGUGGAAAAAGGUGAUUGAAAUACAUAAGUCUGGGUUACAAAGCUAUUUCAAAGGAGAAAAUUUGGCACAGUAGUGACUACCUUCCAAAAUUCCUCCAAGAGCACAGCAACGACUCAUCCAGGUCACUAAAAAAAAGUCACGGACAACAUCCAAGGAACUGCAGGCCUCUCACAUCAAUAAAGGUCACUGUUCAUGAUUCCACUAUCAGAAAGACUCUGGCCAAAAAUGCCAUCCAUGGAAGAGUGGUGAGGCAAAAACCACUGCUAAAUCCGAAGAACAUCAAGGCUCAUCUGAAUUUUGCCAAAUGACACCUUGAUGAUCCUCAAGCCUUUUGGGAGAAUGUUCUGUGGACUUACAAGUCGAACUUGGAACUGUUUGUAAGACAGGGGUCCCAUUACGUCUGGCGUAAAUCAAACACUGAAUUCUAAAAAAGAAUAUCAUACCUACAGUCAAGCAUGGUGAUGGUAGUGUGAUGUGUGGGGAUGCUUCGCUGCUUAAGGGCCUGGGCGACUUGCAAUAAUUGAGGAAAACAUGAAUUCUCUAUACCAGAAAAUUCUAAAGGAGAACAUCCGAUCAUCAGUCCUUGAGUUGAAGCUCAAGCACAACUGGACAUUUUUCUAUGCAGAAAAACAAUGAUCCAAAGCAUAGGAGUAAGUCCACCUCUGAAUGGCUAAAAAGAAGCAAAAUUAUAGUUUUGGAGUGGUCUAGUCAAAGUCCUGACUUGAACCUGAUUGAGAUGUUGUGGCAGGACCUUAAACGGGCAGUUCAUGCUUGAAAACCCUCCAGUGUGGCUGAACUAAAGCAGUUCUGCAAAGAAGAGUGGGCCAAAAUUCCACCACAGUGCUUUGAAAGACUGAUCUCCAUUUAUAGGACGUGUUUGGUUGCAGUUUUUGCUGCUAAAGUUGGCAAAACCAGCUAUUUAUUGUUUUAAAUAUAAAUAUUUACCAAGAAAAGGCCCCUAAAUAACAAAUAAUUUAAGAUAUGAUUAAAUAAUUAUAAAUAAGUAUAUUUAAAUAUGUAUUAUACAUAUAAAUAUAGACUAUUAAAAUGUAUUACAUUAUUGUGGAAGAUGAGUAAGAAGACAAUACAAGAAGUGGCUUUAGAAUGCAAUUGUUUAUUUCCAUAUUAUUGAACAUAAGCCUAUCACUGGCAUACAGUCCAUGCCACAGCAAUCCAAUUGGCAAUUGAAUUCGUAAAACUGUUCAAAAUAGAUUUAUUACAAGAGCUUUUCUAAGGACACAUCACUGGGCAAAUGAGUCAGACACGCUUUUGGAGCAUCUCAUUUUUAUUUUUUUUAGCUUAUUUGGUUGCUGUGUCAGAUUAAAAGUAGCUUUUAGCUUAGAAAAACAUGUCUUGAGAUCUCUGCAUUCAGAAUUGCACUCCAUCCAGUUGUGUUUGAAAGCAACAACACUUUCUCAUCUUGUGUUGUUGCUAGUGUCAAGCAAGCCAGAGUGUUGUUUGCAGUUUGCACAGCUGCCUGUACAGCUGGUGUUUCACUUAUUGCCAACUGCUUAAAACAGGUAGUACUAGUACGUUUUAAUGUGUUAUUUUUUUAUAUACCUAAUUAACACUCUGAAUUAAAUCAACAGCCCUAGUGUGUAUCAUGCAUACAUGAUACACACUAGAGCUGUUGAUUUAAUUCUGUAAAAGCAAUUUAUAAAAAAUCUAUAUAUAUAUAUAUAUAUAUAUUUUUUUUUUUCAUUUUUCAAUGAAAAAUGUUAUCCCACUUUGCUUGAAAUGCCACAUCUACAAAAUUGUAUUUACCGAUAUGUAUACAUUUUCAAUUUUAAUAAUAUUUUUAAAUUGAGCACUUGGAUUUCCAGAAGAUGCAGCAUAACCCAAAGUCUUAUUAAAUUGGAUGCAAACAUCAAUAUGUAAUCAAUGUCAAUAUUUUCUUAUUGCUAACUUUGUAGUCCUAUAAAGAUUCAAAUCCAUAGUAAUUGCCAUGCCAAUUGUUUUAGCGUACUGAACAAGAAAUGUAAGUUGAGAAAGUAAUAUGAGAAUUUAUUCACAUAUCAGGAUAUAAAUUGGCAUAUUUGCAUUCACAUUAAUUAUUUGUUCACAAGAACUUUUGCUAGACUAGUGGAAUUACUUGGUUAUUUAAAACUCCCAACUCAUUAAUUGAAAUGGGUCAGUUUUUAAAUUCUAAAUUUUGUCUAACUCUGUUUAAUACUGGUUUUACAUGUGAAAUACUACUGCAACUUUACUUUAUUAGCUGGGCUCACAUGCGCUCUUCAACUCCCUAAAUUGAAAUGAAUGGAAAUAGCUCAUAACAUAAUGUAUGAAACAGCAUCUCUGAACAGUGUCUGUAAUAGAAAUGUAUUAUUUUGACAUAUCCAAGCUUUGCCAAUCAUAAUCAUGUACAAUGUACUUGUGUGUUGUGUUUUAAUUAGCCCCAGUAAUGAUUAUCCUCUGCCCCAUGUUCUGUAAUUAGAGGCAGGUUGUGGAUCUCACCUCAAUUACUCCAUUACACUGGAAAGUCAUUUUUCAAAUGCAUAACUUGUGCAGUGUUGACAAACCCAUUCUGUGAUUAUUGCAGUGCAAUUGCGUAAAGGAUUGAAGAGCAAUUGCACUGCAAUAAUUUUGA
Molecule: long non-coding RNA, 3633 nt
Organism: Xyrauchen texanus (razorback sucker)
Lineage: Eukaryota; Metazoa; Chordata; Actinopteri; Cypriniformes; Catostomidae
Exons: 6
Source: RefSeq, a predicted model, not a curated record